GCGCCCUUACUGCUGGGUGGGCUGAGCGGCUCGCCUGCAAGCCCAGCUGAUCCGAGGCUCAGCCAUGUCAACUCCAGAUUCAAGCAGUCCUGGGCAGCCAGCUCCUUUUCCUUCUGCCCCACGGCCGCCACCACCAAUUCUACCCCCUCCAUUUAUGCCUCCUCCUGGGAUCCCACCACCAUUUCCACCCAUGGGAUUGCCCCCAAUGGGACCACGGCCACCUCCUAUGCCUCCUAUGCCCCCUGGCAUGAUGCCACCUCCCCCUAUGAUUCCACCUAUGCCUGGACCACCGCCCCUGGGUCAGGUAGUGCUGGUUCAUGUUUUUCUUUGCCUUUUGUUCUCCAGUUUGCAAUAAGUAUAAUGGCUUGGUCUUUUCUUUUGUCUCCAGAUGCCCACAAUGGUGCCACCGAUGCUGCCUGGGAUGAUCAUGCCAGGGGUCCCAGCUGGGCCUGUUCCUGUUUCUGGAGGAGGAGUGAGUGUCAGAAAGGACAGUGAUUCGGGGAAUUAGAAUAGGGUGUGGCACAAGAGCUUGCAUAUAUACUUCAAUGGCUUUCAUAACAGGGCUGCCUCUUUCAUUUGGGAACAGAUAUAUGAUGCUCUUUAACCACUUGGUUGACC
RNAcentral lists this long non-coding RNA (618 nucleotides) under Pseudonaja textilis. Its description in RNAcentral is "lncRNA (ENSPTXG00000006238.1)". Lineage: Eukaryota; Metazoa; Chordata; Lepidosauria; Squamata; Elapidae. The record is from RNAcentral.